Molecule: ribosomal RNA, 485 nt
Filed under: uncultured bacterium
Lineage: Bacteria
Description: bacterial SSU rRNA
Rfam family: Bacterial small subunit ribosomal RNA
Source: RNAcentral
UAUUGGGCGUAAAGAGCUCGUAGGUGGCUAAGUAAGUCGGGGUGUCAAAUCCCCAGGCUCAACCUGGGUCCCCACUCGAUACUGCUUUGGCUAGAGUCCGGUAGGGGAGCGUGGAAUUCCUGGUGUAGCGGUGAAAUGCGCAGAUAUCAGGAGGAACACCAGCGGCGAAGGCGGCGCUCUGGGCCGGUACUGACACUGAGGAGCGAAAGCGUGGGUAGCAAACAGGAUUAGAUACCCUGGUAGUCCACGCCGUAAACGUUGGGCACUAGGUGUGGGGUCUAUUCAACGGACUCCGUGCCGUCGCUAACGCAUUAAGUGCCCCGCCUGGGGAGUACGGCCGCAAGGCUAAAACUCAAAGGAAUUGACGGGGGCCCGCACAAGCAGCGGAGCAUGUUGCUUAAUUCGAGGCAACGCGAAGAACCUUACCUGGGUUUGACAUGUAGAGAAAAGCCACAGAGAUGUGGUGUCCUUCGGGGUUCUACACA